AGCUUCCUCUCCAUCCCCUCGUCUGGAACAGGGCGUCUGCCCUCUCCGCCAUAGGGAGCGCACGGCCGCCGUCUGGUCGCCUCCUCCGUCGUCCGUCUGGCUGGAGUCGCGGUGGAGGCCGGGCCUUGCCUCGCCGGAAAGGAACAGCCCGUUGCUCCCGCCGCCGUGUCGCCGCUGCCGAUGCCGCCGCGUCGUCGUCACCGGAGAAGAUGAGUCCUCCCUUCUCUCUCUCUCUUCCCUUUUUUUUUUAAAACUUAAUCUAUCUCUCUCUCUCCGUCGUUUCAGACAGAAAAGGAAAAAGGCGGUGGCUUGCCGCCGCGCCGUCUCCGGCCGUGAGCAGCCGCCGGCUGCUCUCACUCCUCCCUCCGUCCCCGGUCACACACACACAGAGACACAAAGGGUCCAAAUUUUCAGUUUACACAGAACACUUAGGUUUUCAAAAUUUGUUCUUUCUAUUCUUGUCUAUUCUCAAAAUCAAAUCUUGUAAUUGUAAUAGGUAGAAAGUGAAGUGAUGAUGAGUGUGUGUGUUCGUUGCUGUUUCUUUCUUCUUCCCUUUUUUUUUUUUUUGUUUGAUGCAUAAUUAACAAAUGAUGUGGGGAGGUUUUGGAGUAACCUUGAUUUGGUGUUGUUGGAAUCUGUGAAUUGUAAACAAAUAUAAGAAUGAGUUUUACUUUCUUUGAAACUGGAACAAUUGAUGGAGAUUAAUCAAGUAAUCACCUUCUUGAUUUUGAAUCUUGGAAGUAGUCGAAACUGGAAAACUUGGGACUGAUCUUGGAGAUCUGGAAACAGCCGAGUCUUGAUGAUUGAAAUUUUGGAAUUUAUUUGGUAAUUUGGAAGCCAUCGAGAACUUAGAGUAGGAAUUGAGAGAGAUUGAUAAUGUAGAGAUGAGAGAGAAUGAGAGAUUAGAGAGAGAGAAUGUAUGUGUCUUAAUGAGUAAGUUAAACUUGUAGAUAAGUGAAAGGCUUAAUAAGGAAGCCAAAUCUUUGAUUUGGAUAAGAAAGAAUAUUUUGGAAUUACUAAUAAGGCAAUUUGGUGAUUAUGGAAUUGGAGCAAAAAUAAUAAAAUGUAGUAAGUGAAUGGAUGCGAGAUUAAAACAAUUUAAGGGAAGUAAGUGCAUGUUAAUUACUUAAAAAAAACUCAUGACCUUAAUAAAUAAAUAAAAUGAUCUUUAAUAAAAU
Molecule: long non-coding RNA, 1178 nt
Organism: Salvia miltiorrhiza (redroot sage)
Lineage: Eukaryota; Viridiplantae; Streptophyta; Magnoliopsida; Lamiales; Lamiaceae
Exons: 2
Source: RefSeq, a predicted model, not a curated record